CCUAGCUUGCUAGGUGGAUUAGUGGCGCACGGGUGAGUAAUAUAUAGAUAACGUGCCUCUUAGUCUGGGAUAGCCAUUGGAAACGAUGAUUAAUACUAGAUACUCCUUCUAACUCUAAUGUUAGUCGGGAAAGUUUUUCGCUAAGAGAUCGGUCUAUAUCCCAUCAGCUAGUUGGUAGUGUAAGAGACUACCAAGGCAAUGACGGGUAGCGGGUUUGAGAGGAUGAUCCGCCACACUGGUACUGAGACACGGACCAGACUCCUACGGGAGGCAGCAGUGAGGAAUAUUGCACAAUGGAGGAAACUCUGAUGCAGCAACGCCACGUGGAGGAUGACGCAUUUCGGUGUGUAAACUCCUUUUAUAUGUCAAGAAAAUGACGGUAGCACAUGAAUAAGCACCGGCUAACUCCGUGCCAGCAGCCGCGGUAAUACGGAGGGUGCAAGCGUUAUUCGGAAUCACUGGGCGUAAAGGACGCGU
This 477-nucleotide ribosomal RNA is filed under the name uncultured Campylobacterota bacterium. RNAcentral describes it as "bacterial SSU rRNA". It matches the Rfam family "Bacterial small subunit ribosomal RNA", at positions 74 to 572 of the family's 1533-position model. Lineage: Bacteria; Pseudomonadati; Campylobacterota. The record is from RNAcentral.